This is an RNA transcript of Trichogramma pretiosum, 1409 nucleotides long. It is a transcript of the gene named MIP18 family protein CG30152, with no coding region annotated. Lineage: Eukaryota; Metazoa; Arthropoda; Insecta; Hymenoptera; Trichogrammatidae. The record is from RefSeq and is a predicted model, not a curated record. The transcript is spliced from 4 exons.
AAUAAUUACUUAAUGAUUUAUAUUUAAUCAUAAUAACUUUAAAAUGUGACAGCAAUCGCCCAGAACUGUCAAAAAUAUAUAUAACGAUAUUGAAACACGAGGGGCUUUGAGUCGCGUUAGUAAAUAUUGAGGCUUUCGACCACUUCUUGGAAAAGGUAAAAGCCUAUCAAAACAUUUCAUCAUGUUUGUCAACAAAAAGGUUUUCAAAGCUUGUUUUGUUCGGGUCCAUAUACAAUUUGGUGAAUUCGGCUAAACGCAAUGCAACGAUCAUAACCUCAAAUUAUCGACCAAGUUCGGAGUUGUUGCAGUUGCAACAAUCGGUAUACGGCACUCGGUUUUAUAUGUGCGUGUGAGCCUCGUGCUACAAGUAAGCUCUUAUACUUUGUAAAAUCGAUGACGUAACUAUUCGAUACAAUUGUCGAUUCGAUUGUCGUUUGGCCGAUUCGAGAAGACUCUAUAAACGAUCCGCCCGAGCAGAAGAGAUAAAAUUGAUAUAGAAAGUGCGGUAGGUGUUUGCGCCGUCACGUAUUGCGAUGAUUUCGAUCUAGAUGUGCUAUAUACUUACAAAACUGUCGUGUAGUACAAUAAGAUAUACAUGUGUGUCUUGACGCAACACAAUCUAUACGAUGUUGUCGUCGUUUCUUCGCAAACUUUCGUUGGGCGGCAAAAUACGCGAUGGUCUGCUACUCGACGAUAAGAACGUCAUGGGUACGACCGAGGACUGUGUAAAACCUCGAUCGCUCUGUUACGAGCUUUCACUCAAAGAUGAAACUGAACUCAGAGAGUCUAUUUUUGAUAUACUGAGAACAAUAAAAGAUCCAGAGAAGCCACAAACUCUAGAACAAUUAGAUGUUGUUUAUGAGGAGGGAAUAGAAAUUAAAGAAGCUACACCUGGAGGUGUAACAGUAAUAAGAGUGAUUUUUAAUCCAACGGUACCACAUUGUUCCCUUGCAACACUUAUAGGACUCUGCAUCAGAGUCAAGUUGGAACGUCAUUUACUUGCUCAUUUUAAAUUAGACAUUUUCAUCAAGGAAGGUACUCAUGUCACAGAACAAGAAAUAAAUAAACAAGUCAACGAUAAAGAAAGAAUAGCUGCUGCAAUGGAAAAUCCAAACUUAAGAGAAGUUGUAGAAAAAUGUAUAAGGGAAGAGGAAUAAUGAAAAGUUGCCUAUAUUUUGAUACUUGUAAAUAAUUUUCAAAUAUUUAUAAGUUUGUGCUUCAGUAUUGACCAUGAGUUGCGAAAGCCUAAUAGAUUCUCUUUUAUCAAGUUCAGCCUCCUCUUCUUCUUCCUCUUGCUGUAAAAAGUAAACAAAUUAUUCAUUUCAUUCAAGAACCAAUUAUGCAAAAACUUGAAUUAGAAAUUACGGGAUAAAAUUCAGAAGGAUACUGGUAUUUGAUUGGCUCUACGG